RNAcentral lists this ribosomal RNA (384 nucleotides) under uncultured Pseudomonas sp. Its description in RNAcentral is "bacterial SSU rRNA". It matches the Rfam family "Bacterial small subunit ribosomal RNA", at positions 1000 to 1382 of the family's 1533-position model. The record is from RNAcentral. Lineage: Bacteria; Pseudomonadati; Pseudomonadota; Gammaproteobacteria; Pseudomonadales; Pseudomonadaceae.
CCAGAGAUGGAUUGGUGCCUUCGGGAACGUCUGACACAGGUGCUGCAUGGCUGUCGUCAGCUCGUGUCGUGAGAUGUUGGGUUAAGUCCCGUAACGAGCGCAACCCUUGUCCUUAGUUACCAGCACGUUAUGGUGGGCACUCUAAGGAGACUGCCGGUGACAAACCGGAGGAAGGUGGGGAUGACGUCAAGUCAUCAUGGCCCUUGCGGCCUGGGCUACACACGUGCUACAAUGGUCGGUACAAAGGGUUGCCAAGCCGCGAGGUGGAGCUAAUCCCAUAAAACCGAUCGUAGUCCGGAUCGCAGUCUGCAACUCGACUGCGUGAAGUCGGAAUCGCUAGUAAUCGUGAAUCAGAAUGUCACGGUGAAUACGUUCCCGGGCCUU